CGGAGGGGCGGCUAUACUGCAGUCGAGCGGACAGAAGGGAGCUUGCUCCCGGAUGUUAGCGGCGGACGGGUGAGUAACACGUGGGUAACCUGCCUGUAAGACUGGGAUAACUCCGGGAAACCGGAGCUAAUACCGGAUAGUUCCUUGAACCGCAUGGUUCAAGGAUGAAAGACGGUUUCGGCUGUCACUUACAGAUGGACCCGCGGCGCAUUAGCUAGUUGGUGGGGUAAUGGCUCACCAAGGCGACGAUGCGUAGCCGACCUGAGAGGGUGAUCGGCCACACUGGGACUGAGACACGGCCCAGACUCCUACGGGAGGCAGCAGUAGGGAAUCUUCCGCAAUGGACGAAAGUCUGACGGAGCAACGCCGCGUGAGUGAUGAAGGUUUUCGGAUCGUAAAGCUCUGUUGUUAGGGAAGAACAAGUGCGAGAGUAACUGCUCGCACCUUGACGGUACCUAACCAGAAAGCCACGGCUAACUACGUGCCAGCAGCCGCGGUAAUACGUAGGUGGCAAGCGUUGUCCGGAAUUAUUGGGCGUAAAGGGCUCGCAGGCGGUUUCUUAAGUCUGAUGUGAAAGCCCCCGGCUCAACCGGGGAGGGUCAUUGGAAACUGGGAAACUUGAGUGCAGAAGAGGAGAGUGGAAUUCCACGUGUAGCGGUGAAAUGCGUAGAGAUGUGGAGGAACACCAGUGGCGAAGGCGACUCUCUGGUCUGUAACUGACGCUGAGGAGCGAAAGCGUGGGGAGCGAACAGGAUUAGAUACCCUGGUAGUCCACGCCGUAAACGAUGAGUGCUAAGUGUUAGGGGGUUUCCGCCCCUUAGUGCUGCAGCUAACGCAUUAAGCACUCCGCCUGGGGAGUACGGUCGCAAGACUGAAACUCAAAGGAAUUGACGGGGGCCCGCACAAGCGGUGGAGCAUGUGGUUUAAUUCGAAGCAACGCGAAGAACCUUACCAGGUCUUGACAUCCUCUGACAACCCUAGAGAUAGGGCUUUCCCUUCGGGACAGAGUGACAGGUGGUGCAUGGAUUGUCGUCAGCUCGUGUCGUGAGAUGUUGGGUUUAAGUCCCGCAACGAGCGCAACCCUUGAUCUUUAGUUUGCCAGCAUUUAGUUUGGGCACUCUAAAGUGACUGCCGGUGACCAACUGAAGCAUGGUGGGGUAUGACGUUCAAAAUCCAUUCAUUGCCCCCCUUUAAUUG
This 1197-nucleotide ribosomal RNA is filed under the name Bacillus sp. (in: firmicutes). Its description in RNAcentral is "bacterial SSU rRNA". It matches the Rfam family "Bacterial small subunit ribosomal RNA", at positions 40 to 1211 of the family's 1533-position model. Lineage: Bacteria; Bacillati; Bacillota; Bacilli; Caryophanales; Bacillaceae. The record is from RNAcentral.